Molecule: ribosomal RNA, 2923 nt
Filed under: Klebsiella pneumoniae
Lineage: Bacteria; Pseudomonadati; Pseudomonadota; Gammaproteobacteria; Enterobacterales; Enterobacteriaceae
Description: bacterial LSU rRNA
Rfam family: Bacterial large subunit ribosomal RNA
Source: RNAcentral
GGGUUGUGAGGUUAAGCGACUAAGCGUACACGGUGGAUGCCCUGGCAGUCAGAGGCGAUGAAGGACGUGCUAAUCUGCGAAAAGCGUCGGUAAGGUGAUAUGAACCGUUAUAGCCGGCGAUGUCCGAAUGGGGAAACCCAGUGUGAUUCGUCACACUAUCGUUAACUGAAUACAUAGGUUAACGAGGCGAACCGGGGGAACUGAAACAUCUAAGUACCCCGAGGAAAAGAAAUCAACCGAGAUUCCCCCAGUAGCGGCGAGCGAACGGGGAGCAGCCCAGAGUUUGAAUCAGCUUGUGUGUUAGUGGAACGGUCUGGAAAGUCCGACGGUACAGGGUGAUAGUCCCGUACACCAAAAUGCACAGGCUGUGAACUCGAAGAGUAGGGCGGGACACGUGGUAUCCUGUCUGAAUAUGGGGGGACCAUCCUCCAAGGCUAAAUACUCCUGACUGACCGAUAGUGAACCAGUACCGUGAGGGAAAGGCGAAAAGAACCCCGGCGAGGGGAGUGAAAAAGAACCUGAAACCGUGUACGUACAAGCAGUGGGAGCACCUUCGGGUGUGACUGCGUACCUUUUGUAUAAUGGGUCAGCGACUUAUAUUCUGUAGCAAGGUUAACCGUAUAGGGGAGCCGCAGGGAAACCGAGUCUUAACUGGGCGUUAAGUUGCAGGGUAUAGACCCGAAACCCGGUGAUCUAGCCAUGGGCAGGUUGAAGGUUGGGUAACACUAACUGGAGGACCGAACCGACUAAUGUUGAAAAAUUAGCGGAUGACUUGUGGCUGGGGGUGAAAGGCCAAUCAAACCGGGAGAUAGCUGGUUCUCCCCGAAAGCUAUUUAGGUAGCGCCUCGUGAAUUCAUCUUCGGGGGUAGAGCACUGUUUCGGCUAGGGGGUCAUCCCGACUUACCAACCCGAUGCAAACUACGAAUACCGAAGAAUGUUAUCACGGGAGACACACGGCGGGUGCUAACGUCCGUCGUGAAGAGGGAAACAACCCAGACCGCCAGCUAAGGUCCCAAAGUCAUGGUUAAGUGGGAAACGAUGUGGGAAGGCACAGACAGCCAGGAUGUUGGCUUAGAAGCAGCCAUCAUUUAAAGAAAGCGUAAUAGCUCACUGGUCGAGUCGGCCUGCGCGGAAGAUGUAACGGGGCUAAACCAUGCACCGAAGCUGCGGCAGCGACACUAUGUGUUGUUGGGUAGGGGAGCGUUCUGUAAGCCUGCGAAGGUGACCUGUGAGGGUUGCUGGAGGUAUCAGAAGUGCGAAUGCUGACAUAAGUAACGAUAAAGCGGGUGAAAAGCCCGCUCGCCGGAAGACCAAGGGUUCCUGUCCAACGUUAAUCGGGGCAGGGUGAGUCGACCCCUAAGGCGAGGCCGAAAGGCGUAGUCGAUGGGAAACAGGUUAAUAUUCCUGUACUUGGUGUUACUGCGAAGGGGGGACGGAGAAGGCUAUGUUAGCCGGGCGACGGUUGUCCCGGUUUAAGCAUGUAGGCUGGUUGUCCAGGCAAAUCCGGAUAAUCAAGGCUGAGGUGUGAUGACGAGGCACUACGGUGCUGAAGUAACAAAUGCCCUGCUUCCAGGAAAAGCCUCUAAGCAUCAGGUAACAUCAAAUCGUACCCCAAACCGACACAGGUGGUCAGGUAGAGAAUACCAAGGCGCUUGAGAGAACUCGGGUGAAGGAACUAGGCAAAAUGGUGCCGUAACUUCGGGAGAAGGCACGCUGGUGUGUAGGUGAAGUCCCUGCGGAUGGAGCUGAGACCAGUCGAAGAUACCAGCUGGCUGCAACUGUUUAUUAAAAACACAGCACUGUGCAAACACGAAAGUGGACGUAUACGGUGUGACGCCUGCCCGGUGCCGGAAGGUUAAUUGAUGGGGUUAUCCGUAAGGAGAAGCUCUUGAUCGAAGCCCCGGUAAACGGCGGCCGUAACUAUAACGGUCCUAAGGUAGCGAAAUUCCUUGUCGGGUAAGUUCCGACCUGCACGAAUGGCGUAAUGAUGGCCAGGCUGUCUCCACCCGAGACUCAGUGAAAUUGAACUCGCUGUGAAGAUGCAGUGUACCCGCGGCAAGACGGAAAGACCCCGUGAACCUUUACUAUAGCUUGACACUGAACAUUGAGCCUUGAUGUGUAGGAUAGGUGGGAGGCUUUGAAGCGUGGACGCCAGUCUGCGUGGAGCCAACCUUGAAAUACCACCCUUUAAUGUUUGAUGUUCUAACGUUGGCCCCUUACCGGGGUUGCGGACAGUGUCUGGUGGGUAGUUUGACUGGGGCGGUCUCCUCCCAAAGCGUAACGGAGGAGCACGAAGGUUAGCUAAUCCUGGUCGGACAUCAGGAGGUUAGUGCAAUGGCAUAAGCUAGCUUGACUGCGAGCGUGACGGCGCGAGCAGGUGCGAAAGCAGGUCAUAGUGAUCCGGUGGUUCUGAAUGGAAGGGCCAUCGCUCAACGGAUAAAAGGUACUCCGGGGAUAACAGGCUGAUACCGCCCAAGAGUUCAUAUCGACGGCGGUGUUUGGCACCUCGAUGUCGGCUCAUCACAUCCUGGGGCUGAAGUAGGUCCCAAGGGUAUGGCUGUUCGCCAUUUAAAGUGGUACGCGAGCUGGGUUUAGAACGUCGUGAGACAGUUCGGUCCCUAUCUGCCGUGGGCGCUGGAGAAUUGAGGGGGGCUGCUCCUAGUACGAGAGGACCGGAGUGGACGCAUCACUGGUGUUCGGGUUGUCAUGCCAAUGGCACUGCCCGGUAGCUAAAUGCGGAAGAGAUAAGUGCUGAAAGCAUCUAAGCACGAAACUUGCCCCGAGAUGAGUUCUCCCUGAGACUUUAAGUCUCCUGAAGGAACGUUGAAGACGACGACGUUGAUAGGCCGGGUGUGUAAGCGCAGCGAUGCGUUGAGCUAACCGGUACUAAUGAACCGUGAGGCUUAACCUUACAACGCCGAAG